GGGAUACAAAUAAAUAUCGUAGCGUGUGGUUUGCUGGCACAGCGUCCGCCCAAGUAUUUUUCACCCAUGUCUUUUGCGCACUUUUUGUUUCCUGGGCGAGUUCCUCGCCCCAGGACCAACCAUAAACCUUUUUUUAUGCAGUUGCAAUCAGCCCCCAAUAAUAAUUCAAUUUAUUAAAACUUUCAACAACGGAUCUCUUGGUUCUGGCAUCAAUGAAGAACGCAGCGAAACGCGAUACGUAGUGUGAAUUGCAGAAUUCAGUGAAUCAUCGAAUCUUUGAACGCACAUUGCGCCCUUUGAUAUUCCAAAGGGCAUGCCUGUUCGAGCGUCAUUUGUACCCUCAAGCUUUGCUUGGUGUUGGGCGUCUUUUUGUCUCUCCCCUUGUUGGGGAGACUCGCCUUAAAACGAUUGGCAGCCGACCUACUGGUUUUCGGAGCGCAGCACAAUUUGCGCCUUCCAAUCCACGGGGCGGCAUCCAGCAAGCCUUUGUUUCUAUAACAAAUCCACAUUUUGAACUCGCAUCAGGUAGGGAUACCCGCUGAACUUAAGCAUAUCAUAGCCGAAGAA
This 567-nucleotide ribosomal RNA is filed under the name Exserohilum sp. ARML-1.3.1. Its description in RNAcentral is "eukaryotic LSU rRNA". The stretch from base 178 to 331 matches the Rfam family "5.8S ribosomal RNA". The record is from RNAcentral. Lineage: Eukaryota; Fungi; Ascomycota; Dothideomycetes; Pleosporales; Pleosporaceae.